GUAGUAGUAGUAGUAGAAGAAGAAUCUUCCCUCCCCACAAUUCAUUGCGGUUUGCCGAGCGAUAUAAGUGUGUGUAUGACUUCCGUUCUGCCUCUCGGCACGCGGUCACCGUGCCGUUCAGGAACAUGUGCGUCUGCGUAUUAAAUGUGAGAUGUUGGGUCCCCUGCUGAACAAACAUCAAGGCGGAGUGGAAGCCAUGGGAUAAAGUUACCAGCCUUUGGGAGCGAACUCCCCGAGUUGCUGUGUGUGGAGCUGAUGGUCACGCUGCAGUCAGACUGAGGGUGCAGGUGGGUGGAGCAGCUGGUCUGCAGGGGGCAGCAGAUGCCUGCAAACAGACUCGUGCAGUGUUCAGAACAACCCAGCAGGAUAACGCUGAAGUGAGCGGAGAAGUUCCUGUCAGUCCAUCUGCUGGGUCGUCGGUGCGCCUCCAUGUUUCACCCUCUGCCUGCUCCACCUGAUUGAGGAUGAGGCAGUAGAUGGAGCUUGAUCUCUACAUUUUGUUGGAUAAGCAUGAGCAAUUGUUUGAGUUGAGUCAAAGGCUUAAAGAAUAAAUUGAUCUCAUAA
Scatophagus argus is the source of this 564-nucleotide long non-coding RNA. RefSeq lists it as uncharacterized. The transcript has 5 exons. Lineage: Eukaryota; Metazoa; Chordata; Actinopteri; Scatophagidae. The record is from RefSeq and is a predicted model, not a curated record.